UUAUGGCCAUAUCGCAUUGAAAUAAUGGCUCCCAUAUGAUCACCAAAGUUAAGCAAUGUCGAGCCUGGCAAGUAUCUAAAUGAGUGGCUGCUUGAGAAUAUCAGGUGUUGUAAG
Molecule: non-coding RNA, 114 nt
Organism: Acanthosepion pharaonis
Lineage: Eukaryota; Metazoa; Mollusca; Cephalopoda; Sepiida; Sepiidae
Source: the annotation of a GenBank genome assembly